GAUGAACGCUGGCGGCGUGCCUAAUACAUGCAAGUCGAGCGAACGGACGAGAAGCUUGCUUUUCUGAUGUUAGCGGCGGACGGGUGAGUAACACGUGGAUAACCUACCUAUAAGACUGGGAUAACUUCGGGAAACCGUAGCUAAUACCGGAUAAUAUUUUGAACCGCAUUGUUCAAAAGUUAAAGACGGUCUUUCUGUCACUUAUAGAUGGAUCCGCGCUGCAUUAGCUAGUUGGUAAGGUAACGGCUUACCAAGGCAACGAUGCAUAGCCGACCUGAAAGGGUGAUCGGCCACACGGGAUCUGAGACACGGUCCAGACUCCUACGGGAGGCAGCGGUAGGGAAUCUUACGCGAUGGACGAAUGCCUGACGGAGCACAGCCGCGUGAGUGAUGAAGGUCUUCGGAUCGUAAAACUAUGUAAUUAGGAAAGAACAUAUGUGUAAGUAACUGUGCACAUAUUGACGGUACCUAAUCAGAAAGCCACGGCUAACUACGUG
RNAcentral lists this ribosomal RNA (497 nucleotides) under uncultured bacterium. RNAcentral describes it as "partial 16S ribosomal RNA". It matches the Rfam family "Bacterial small subunit ribosomal RNA", at positions 28 to 507 of the family's 1533-position model. The record is from RNAcentral.